GGGGAUGAGGCUCAGUGGUAAGAGUCCAUGCCUAGCAUGCACAAGGUCCUGGGUUCAAUCCCCAGCAAACACA
This 73-nucleotide transfer RNA is filed under the name Ictidomys tridecemlineatus (thirteen-lined ground squirrel). Its description in RNAcentral is "Spermophilus tridecemlineatus (thirteen-lined ground squirrel) tRNA". It matches the Rfam family "tRNA". Rfam says of the family: Transfer RNA (tRNA) molecules are approximately 80 nucleotides in length. The record is from Rfam by way of RNAcentral. Lineage: Eukaryota; Metazoa; Chordata; Mammalia; Rodentia; Sciuridae.